RNA transcript from Hippopotamus amphibius kiboko, 1475 nucleotides. It is a transcript of the gene named POU domain, class 5, transcription factor 1-like, with no coding region annotated. The record is from RefSeq and is a predicted model, not a curated record. The transcript has 3 exons. Lineage: Eukaryota; Metazoa; Chordata; Mammalia; Artiodactyla; Hippopotamidae.
AUGGCCUUCGUGGCCACAGAGUCUGAGCGGGCCCAAACCUGUGGUUCCGUGGUGACCUUAUACAGCUCAGGGCACUAUCUGCUUCUGGGGGACCCAGUCCCUCCCUGCAAGUCAAAUUCAAGUCGGGAUUCUAUACCACCCACCAAAGCUAGGAGGCACCUAAGUUCCCCAAGGGGAUGCAGCCAGUCAAGGCAGGAUAUCAGAGACACCCGCCAGGGGACAGCUGGAGGCUACCCAGAACCGGCGCUCAGUACCAGCAUGGACCCAUUGUGCCCGGCCGGCUUCUUGGUGCUCCUCAGGUGUGCCAGCCCCCGGCUUGGGGCGCCUUCCUUCCCCAUAGCGGGACACCUGGCUUCCGACUUCACCUUCUCGCCCCCGCCAGGCGGUGGAGGCGAUGGGCCGGGAGGGCCAGAGCCGGGCUGGCUUGAUCCUCGGACCUAGAUGAGCUUCCAAGGGCCUCCCGGUGGGUCAGGGAUCGGGCCGGGGUUGGGCCCGGCGCCGAGGUGUGGGGGCUUCCCCCGUGCCCCCCGCCCUAUGACUUCUGCGCAGGGAUGGCCUACUGUGCACCUCAGGUUGGAGUGGGGCUGGUGCCCCAGGCGGCCUGGAGACCCCUCAGCCCGAGGGCGAGGCGGGAGCCGGGGUGGAGAGCAACUCCGAGGGGGCCUCCGCGGAGCCCUGCGCCGUCCCCGCUGGUGCCGGGAAGGUGGACGAGGAGAAGCUGGAGCCGAACCCCGAGGAGUCCCAGGACAUCAAAGCUCUUCAGAAAGACCUCGCACAAUUUGCCAAGCUCCUAAAGCAGAAGAGGAUCACCCUGGGAUACACCCGAUGUGGGGCUCACCCUGGGGGUUCUCUUCGGGAAGGUGUUCAGCCAAACAGCCAUCUGCCGUUUUGAGGCUUUGCAGCCCAGUUUGAAGAACAUGUGUAAGCUGCUGCCCCCGCUGCAGAAGUGGGUGCAGGAAGCUGACAACCACGAGAAUCUGCAGGAGAUAUGCAAGGCAGCGACCUUCGUGCAGGCCCGGAAGAGAAAGCGGAAGAGAAAGCGAACGAGUACUGAGAACCGAGUGAGAGGCAACCUGGAGAGCGUGUUCCUGCAGUGCCCGAAGCCCACCCUGCAGCAGAUCAGCCACAUCGCUCAGCAGCUCGGGCUUGAGGAGGAUGUGGUCCGAGUGUGGUUCUGCAACCGUCGCCAGAAGGGCAAACGAUCAAGCAGUCACUAUUCUCAACGAGAGGACUUUGAGGCUGCUGGGUCUCCUUUCUCAGGGGGACCAGUAUCCUUUCCUCUGGCACCAGGGCCCCAUUUUUGUACCCCAGGCUAUGGGGGUCCUCACUUCACUACGCUGUACUCCUCGGUCCCAUUUCCUGAGGGUGAGGCCUUUCCCUCGGUUUCUGUCACCACUCUGGGGCUCUCCCAUGCAUUCAAACUGAGGUGCCUGCCCUUCCCAGGAAUGGGGGCGCAGAGGAAGGGGGAGAGUUAG